UACAGAGGUCCCGAGCGUUGUUCGGAUUCAUUGGGCGUAAAGGGUGCGUAGGCGGCGGGGUAAGUCUGAUGUGAAAUCCUGGGGCUCAACCCUGGAACUGCAUUGGAUACUACCUUGCUAGAGUACUGGAGAGGAAACUGGAAUUUACGGUGUAGCAGUGAAAUGCGUAGAGAUCGUAAGGAAGACCAGUGGCGAAGGCGGGUCUCUGGACAGUUCCUGACACUGAGACACGAAGGCCAGGGGAGCAAACGGG
RNAcentral lists this ribosomal RNA (253 nucleotides) under uncultured bacterium. RNAcentral's name for it is "partial 16S ribosomal RNA". It matches the Rfam family "Bacterial small subunit ribosomal RNA", at positions 524 to 776 of the family's 1533-position model. The record is from RNAcentral.